GGGUGUUUUAAAGAUGUGUAGAUGAGAAACUCAAGAUUUGCCAAAUUUCUGUUUUGCAGGAGGUCUUAUUCCAGGAUUGGUAAUUAUCAUUUAAUGGAGAGAAGCUUUAAGUUUGACAAUGAAAUUCUACAUGCAUCUGGAAUUUCAAGACACAAUGAAGAGAUGAACAUGUGCAAACGAGAAAGAGUACCCUUACCAGACAGACACUAGAGCUCGCAGAAAUUUGAUCUUGGACUUCCCAGCCUCUAGAACUGUGAGAAAUAAAUGUUUGUUGUUUAUGACA
This is a non-coding RNA of Macaca mulatta (Rhesus monkey), 283 nucleotides long. NCBI's taxonomy places the organism in Eukaryota, Metazoa, Chordata, Mammalia, Primates, Cercopithecidae. The record is from RefSeq and is a predicted model, not a curated record.